RNAcentral lists this ribosomal RNA (449 nucleotides) under uncultured bacterium. Its description in RNAcentral is "partial 16S ribosomal RNA". It matches the Rfam family "Bacterial small subunit ribosomal RNA", at positions 29 to 523 of the family's 1533-position model. The record is from RNAcentral.
AACGAACGCUGGCGGCAUGCCUAACACAUGCAAGUCGAACGAGGUCUUCGGGUCUAGUGGCGCACGGGUGCGUAACGCGUGGGAAUCUGCCCUUUGGUUCGGAAUAACAGUUGGAAACGGCUGCUAAUACCGGAUGAUGACGAAAGUCCAAAGAUUUAUCGCCAGAGGAUGAGCCCGCGUAGGAUUAGCUAGUUGGUGUGGUAAAGGCGCACCAAGGCGACGAUCCUUAGCUGGUCUGAGAGGAUGAUCAGCCACACUGGGACUGAGACACGGCCCAGACUCCUACGGGAGGCAGCAGUGGGGAAUAUUGGACAAUGGGCGAAAGCCUGAUCCAGCAAUGCCGCGUGAGUGAUGAAGGCCUUAGGGUUGUAAAGCUCUUUUACCCGGGAUGAUAAUGACAGUACCGGGAGAAUAAGCUCCGGCUAACUCCGUGCCAGCCGCCGCAGUAA